UCCGGGGAUUUCCCGGCAGUCUCGUCAGAAAAGUACAACUGACGACGGGGGUUGCGCUCGUUGCGAGACUUAACCCAACACCUCACGGCACGAGCUGACGACGGCCGUGCAACACCUGUGCACGCUCCCCGAAGGGUCCCUCAUCUUUCGAAUCAGUACCACGUGCAUGUCAAGACCAGGUAAGGUUCUUCGCGUAUCAUCGAAUUAAACCACACGCUCCGCUGCUUGUGCGGGCCCCCGUCAAUUCCUUUGAGUUUUAGCCUUGCGGCCGUAGUCCCCAGGCGGAGUACUUAUCGCGUUAGCUUCGAGACUGAGGGGGUCGAUACCCCCAACCCCUAGUACUCAUCGUUUACGGCGUGGACUAC
Molecule: unclassified non-coding RNA, 365 nt
Filed under: uncultured Chloroflexota bacterium
Lineage: Bacteria; Bacillati; Chloroflexota
Description: uncultured Chloroflexi bacterium contains 16S-23S intergenic spacer region
Source: RNAcentral